CCUACGGGUGGCAGCAGUGAGGAAUAUUGGUCAAUGGGCGCGAGCCUGAAGCAGCCACGCAGCGUGCAGGAUGACUGCCCUCCGGGUUUUAAGCUUCUUUUAUACGGGAGUACAUUUAGUCACGUGUGUCUUUUUGUCUGUACUUUACGAAUACAGAUCGGCUAACUCCGUUCCAGCAGCCGCGGGAAUACGUAGGAUCCAAGCGUUAUCCGGUUUUGUUUGGUUUAAAGGGUGCGUAUCUGGGUUGUUAAGUUAGUUGUGAAAAUUUGGGGCGCGACCGUAACAUUGCAAUUGAUACUGGCAGACUAGAGGACAGUUGAGGUAGGCGGAAUGCGUGGUGUAGCGGUGAAAUGCUUAGAUAUCACGAAGAACACCGAGGGCGAAGGCAGCUUACUAAACUGACACUGACAUUGAGGCUCGAAAGUGUGGGUAGCAAACAGGAUUAGAUACCCGGGUAGUC
This 460-nucleotide ribosomal RNA is filed under the name uncultured bacterium. RNAcentral's name for it is "partial 16S ribosomal RNA". It matches the Rfam family "Bacterial small subunit ribosomal RNA", at positions 338 to 795 of the family's 1533-position model. The record is from RNAcentral.